RNAcentral lists this ribosomal RNA (442 nucleotides) under uncultured bacterium. RNAcentral describes it as "partial 16S ribosomal RNA". It matches the Rfam family "Bacterial small subunit ribosomal RNA", at positions 338 to 795 of the family's 1533-position model. The record is from RNAcentral.
CCUACGGGUGGCAGCAGUGGGGAAUAUUGGGCAAUGGGCGCAAGCCUGACCCAGCAACGCCGCGUGAAGGAAGAAGGCUUUCGGGUUGUAAACUUCUUUUCUCAGGGACGAAGCAAGUGACGGUACCUGAGGAAAAAGCAUCGGCUAACUCCGUGCCAGCAGCCGCGGUAAUACGGAGGAUGCGAGCGUUAUCCGGAUUUAUUGGGUUUAAAGGGUGCGUAGGCGGACAGUCAAGUCAGCGGUAAAAAUGCGGUGCUCAACGCCGUACAGCCGUUGAAACUGGCAGUCUUGAGUGGGCGAGAAGUAUGCGGAAUGCGUGGUGUAGCGGUGAAAUGCAUAGAUAUCACGCAGAACUCCGAUUGCGAAGGCAGCAUACCGGCGCCCUACUGACGCUGAGGCACGAAAGCGUGGGUAUCGAACAGGAUUAGAUACCCGGGUAGUC